Molecule: ribosomal RNA, 468 nt
Filed under: uncultured bacterium
Lineage: Bacteria
Description: partial 16S ribosomal RNA
Rfam family: Bacterial small subunit ribosomal RNA
Source: RNAcentral
GACGAACGCUGGCGGCGUGCUUAACACAUGCAAGUCGAACGGAAAGGCCCUGCUUUUGUGGGGUGCUCGAGUGGCGAACGGGUGAGUAACACGUGAGUAACCUGCCCUUGACUUUGGGAUAACUUCAGGAAACUGGGGCUAAUACCGGAUAGGAGCUCCUGCUGCAUGGUGGGGGUUGGAAAGUUUCGGCGGUUGGGGAUGGACUCGCGGCUUAUCAGCUUGUUGGUGGGGUAGUGGCUUACCAAGGCUUUGACGGGUAGCCGGCCUGAGAGGGUGACCGGCCACAUGGGGACUGAGAUACGGCCCAGACUGCUACGGGAGGCAGCAGUGGGGAAGAUGGCACAAUGGGCGGAAGCCUGAUGCAGCAACGCCGCGUGCGGGAUGACGGCCUUCGGGUUGUAAACCGCUUUCGCCUGUGACGAAGCGUGAGUGACGGUAAUGGGUAAAGAAGCACCGGCUAACUACGUG